GGCGGACGGGUGAGUAACACGUGAGAAUUUGCCUUUAGGAGGGGGACAACAAUUGGAAACGAAUGCUAAUACCCCAUAUGCUUUCACGAGUAAAAUGGAUUUUAUUAUCUGCCUAAAGAGAAGCUCGCGGCUGAUUAGCUUGUUGGUAAGGUAAAAGCUUACCAAGGCGACGAUCAGUAUCUGGUUUGAGAGGACGAUCAGACACACUGGAACUGAGACACGGUCCAGACUCCUACGGGAGGCAGCAGUGGGGAAUUUUCCGCAAUGGGCGAAAGCCUGACGGAGCAAUACCGCGUGAGGGAAGACUGCCUAUGGGUUGUAAACCUCUUUUUUCAGGGAGGAAUAAAAUGACGUGUACCUGAAGAAUAAGCAUCGGCUAACUUCGUGCCAGCAGCCGCGGUAAGACGGAGGAUGCAAGUGUUAUCCGGAAUCACUGGGCGUAAAGCGUCUGUAGGUGGUUUAAUAAGUCAACUGUUAAAUCUUGAGGCUCAACUUCAAAACUGCAGUCGAAACUAUUAGACUAGAGUAUAGUAGAGGUAAAGGGAAUUUC
This 550-nucleotide ribosomal RNA is filed under the name uncultured cyanobacterium. RNAcentral's name for it is "bacterial SSU rRNA". It matches the Rfam family "Bacterial small subunit ribosomal RNA", at positions 97 to 670 of the family's 1533-position model. The record is from RNAcentral. Lineage: Bacteria; Bacillati; Cyanobacteriota.